UUUGGUUAAGUUAGAAAGGGCGCACGGUGGAUGCCUUGACACUAGGAGUCGAUGAAGGACGGGACUAACGCCGAUAUGCUUCGGGGAGCUGUAAGUAAGCUUUGAUCCGAAGAUUUCCGAAUGGGGAAACCCACCAUACGUAAUGGUAUGGUAUCCUUAUCUGAAUACAUAGGGUAAGGAAGACAGACCCAGGGAACUGAAACAUCUAAGUACCUGGAGGAAGAGAAAGCAAAUGCGAUUUCCUGAGUAGCGGCGAGCGAAACGGAACAUAGCCCAAACCAAGAGGCUUGCCUCUUGGGGUUGUAGGACAUUCUAUACGGAGUUACAAAGGAACGAGGUAGACGAAGCGACCUGGAAAGGUCCGUCGUAGAGGGUAACAACCCCGUAGUCGAAACUUCGUUCUCUCUUGAAUGUAUCCUGAGUACGGCGGAACACGUGAAAUUCCGUCGGAAUCUGGGAGGACCAUCUCCCAAGGCUAAAUACUCCCUAGUGAUCGAUAGUGAACCAGUACCGUGAGGGAAAGGUGAAAAGCACCCCGGAAGGGGAGUGAAAGAGAUCCUGAAACCGUGUGCCUACAAAUAGUCAGAGCCCGUUAACGGGUGAUGGCGUGCCUUUUGUAGAAUGAACCGGCGAGUUACGAUCCCGUGCGAGGUUAAGCUGAAGAGGCGGAGCCGCAGCGAAAGCGAGUCUGAAUAGGGCGUUUAGUACGUGGUCGUAGACCCGAAACCAGGUGAUCUACCCAUGUCCAGGGUGAAGUUCAGGUAACACUGAAUGGAGGCCCGAACCCACGCACGUUGAAAAGUGCGGGGAUGAGGUGUGGGUAGCGGAGAAAUUCCAAUCGAACCUGGAGAUAGCUGGUUCUCCCCGAAAUAGCUUUAGGGCUAGCCUUAAGUGUAAGAGUCUUGGAGGUAGAGCACUGAUUGGACUAGGGGUCCUCAUCGGAUUACCGAAUUCAGUCAAACUCCGAAUGCCAAUGACUUAUCCUUAGGAGUCAGACUGCGAGUGAUAAGAUCCGUAGUCAAAAGGGAAACAGCCCAGACCGCCAGCUAAGGUCCCAAAGUGUGUAUUAAGUGGAAAAGGAUGUGGAGUUGCUUAGACAACUAGGAUGUUGGCUUAGAAGCAGCCACCAUUUAAAGAGUGCGUAAUAGCUCACUAGUCGAGUGACUCUGCGCCGAAAAUGUACCGGGGCUAAAUACACCACCGAAGCUGCGGAUUGAUACCAAUGGUAUCAGUGGUAGGGGAGCGUUCUAAGGACAGUGAAGUCAGACCGGAAGGACUGGUGGAGUGCUUAGAAGUGAGAAUGCCGGUAUGAGUAGCGAAAGACGGGUGAGAAUCCCGUCCACCGAAUGCCUAAGGUUUCCUGAGGAAGGCUCGUCCGCUCAGGGUUAGUCAGGACCUAAGCCGAGGCCGACAGGCGUAGGCGAUGGACAACAGGUUGAUAUUCCUGUACCACCUCUUUAUCGUUUGAGCAAUGGAGGGACGCAGAAGGAUAGAAGAAGCGUGCGAUUGGUUGUGCACGUCUAAGCAGUUAGGCUGAUAAGUAGGCAAAUCCGCUUAUCGUAAAGGCUGAGCUGUGAUGGGGAAGCUCCUUAUGGAGCGAAGUCUUUGAUUCCCCGCUGCCAAGAAAAGCUUCUAGCGAGAUAAAAGGUGCCUGUACCGCAAACCGACACAGGUAGGCGAGGAGAGAAUCCUAAGGUGUGCGAGAGAACUCUGGUUAAGGAACUCGGCAAAAUGACCCCGUAACUUCGGGAGAAGGGGUGCUUUCUUAACGGAAAGCCGCAGUGAAUAGGCCCAAGCGACUGUUUAGCAAAAACACAGCUCUCUGCGAAGCCGUAAGGCGAAGUAUAGGGGGUGACACCUGCCCGGUGCUGGAAGGUUAAGGAGAGGGGUUAGCGUAAGCGAAGCUCUGAACUGAAGCCCCAGUAAACGGCGGCCGUAACUAUAACGGUCCUAAGGUAGCGAAAUUCCUUGUCGGGUAAGUUCCGACCCGCACGAAAGGUGUAACGAUUUGGGCACUGUCUCAACCAGAGACUCGGUGAAAUUAUAGUACCUGUGAAGAUGCAGGUUACCCGCGACAGGACGGAAAGACCCCGUGGAGCUUUACUGUAGCCUGAUAUUGAAUUUUGGUACAGUUUGUACAGGAUAGGCGGGAGCCAUUGAAACCGGAGCGCUAGCUUCGGUGGAGGCGCUGGUGGGAUACCGCCCUGACUGUAUUGAAAUUCUAACCUACGGGUCUUAUCGACCCGGGAGACAGUGUCAGGUGGGCAGUUUGACUGGGGCGGUCGCCUCCUAAAGUGUAACGGAGGCGCCCAAAGGUUCCCUCAGAAUGGUUGGAAAUCAUUCGUAGAGUGCAAAGGCAUAAGGGAGCUUGACUGCGAGACCUACAAGUCGAGCAGGGACGAAAGUCGGGCUUAGUGAUCCGGUGGUUCCGCAUGGAAGGGCCAUCGCUCAACGGAUAAAAGCUACCCCGGGGAUAACAGGCUUAUCUCCCCCAAGAGUCCACAUCGACGGGGAGGUUUGGCACCUCGAUGUCGGCUCAUCGCAUCCUGGGGCUGUAGUCGGUCCCAAGGGUUGGGCUGUUCGCCCAUUAAAGCGGUACGCGAGCUGGGUUCAGAACGUCGUGAGACAGUUCGGUCCCUAUCCGUCGUGGGCGUAGGAAAUUUGAGAGGAGCUGUCCUUAGUACGAGAGGACCGGGAUGGACGCACCGCUGGUGUACCAGUUGUUCUGCCAAGGGCAUAGCUGGGUAGCUAUGUGCGGAAGGGAUAAGUGCUGAAAGCAUCUAAGCAUGAAGCCCCCCUCAAGAUGAGAUUUCCCAUAGCGUAAGCUAGUAAGAUCCCUGAAAGAUGAUCAGGUUGAUAGGUUCGAGGUGGAAGCAUGGUGACAUGUGGAGCUGACGAAUACUAAUAGAUCGAGGACUUAACCAUAUAA
This 2929-nucleotide ribosomal RNA is filed under the name Bacillus sp. A260. RNAcentral describes it as "23S ribosomal RNA". It matches the Rfam family "Bacterial large subunit ribosomal RNA". The record is from RNAcentral. Lineage: Bacteria; Bacillati; Bacillota; Bacilli; Caryophanales; Bacillaceae.